GACAGAGGGUGCAAACGUUGCUCGGAAUCAUUGGGCGUAAAGGGCGCGUAGGCGGCCGACCAAGUCGGAGGUGAAAUCCCUCGGCUCAACUGAGGAACUGCCACCGAUACUGUUCGGCUUGAGUCCCGGAGAGGGUAGUGGAAUUCCGAGUGUAGCGGUGAAAUGCGUAGAGACUCGGAAGAACACCAGUGGCGAAGGCGGCUACCUGGACGGGCACUGACGCUGAAGCGCGAAAGCUAGGGGAGCAAACAGG
Molecule: ribosomal RNA, 253 nt
Filed under: uncultured bacterium
Lineage: Bacteria
Description: partial 16S ribosomal RNA
Rfam family: Bacterial small subunit ribosomal RNA
Source: RNAcentral